CCUACGGGAGGCAGCAGUGGGGAAUAUUGCACAAUGGGGGAAACCCUGAUGCAGCGACGCCGCGUGAGGGAAGAAGUAAUUCGGUAUGUAAAGCUCUAUCAGCAGGGAAGAAAAUGACGGUACCUGAGUAAGAAGCCGCGGCUCACUACGUGCCAGCAGCCGCGGUAAUUCGGAGGGGGCAAGGGUUAUCCGGAUUUACUGGGUGUAAAGGGAACGUAGACGGCCGGGCCAGUGUGGAGUGCAAGGCGGGGGCUCCACCCCCGGGCGGCUCUUGAAACUGUCCGGCUGGAGUGCAGGAGAGGUAAGUGGAAUUCCUAGUGUAGCGGUGAAAUGCGUAGAUAUCAGGCGGAACCCCAGUUGCGAAGGCGGCUUACUGGACUGUAACUGACGCUGAGGCUCGAAAGCGUGGGGAGCAAACAGGAUUAGAUACCCGAGUCGUC
RNAcentral lists this ribosomal RNA (440 nucleotides) under uncultured bacterium. RNAcentral describes it as "partial 16S ribosomal RNA". It matches the Rfam family "Bacterial small subunit ribosomal RNA", at positions 338 to 795 of the family's 1533-position model. The record is from RNAcentral.